CAAGAGAAAAUCAUGUAAGUACAGUAAUACUACCUUCCUUAGCAACCAGAAUUACAAACUUUAUAACGGCAAAUCAGAGAAAUAUAACUGCAUUGACAAUUUGAGGCAUUUCAGUAAGCAUAUAAGCAAACAAAAAAUGCGUUUUUUUUGCUACAUGAUAUGCAUAUAUAUUCAACGUAUAAAGUGGUCUACCUCAUUCCAUAAUUUAGGUCCAAUUAGUAGCUAUGAUGAAAUCGACAAUAUACAAAAGAGGCACUCCUCAAUUCCCAUCAGAACCUUAAGUUAA
Non-coding RNA from Vicia faba (fava bean), 286 nucleotides. The record is from the annotation of a GenBank genome assembly. Lineage: Eukaryota; Viridiplantae; Streptophyta; Magnoliopsida; Fabales; Fabaceae.